Molecule: long non-coding RNA, 1199 nt
Organism: Bubalus bubalis (water buffalo)
Lineage: Eukaryota; Metazoa; Chordata; Mammalia; Artiodactyla; Bovidae
Exons: 2
Source: RefSeq, a predicted model, not a curated record
GAAGGGCCCAUGGAAGGUGAAAGGGGCUGGCAGAAAGUGGGUGAUGGAAGGUAAGCAUUUCAAGCAGAGGAGAAAAAAAAACGUGCAAAGCCCUGGAGGAGAGAGUGAGGAGGGACUGGCUGACAGUGGCCAGCUGUGACUGGAGCAGAGAAUGAAAUAAGAGAAAACUGCAAGGUCUAGAUCCUGAAGGAGUUUAAACGUGAUUCAAAGGGCAAGAUAAUGGUAAUAAUCUGAUUUGGAUUUUUCAAAGAUAAUCCUGGUUGUUGUGUGAAGGAUGAAGGGAGCAAGAUGAAAACAGGGUGGUUAAUGGAUAAGCAAUAUUGUAAUGCUGAUAUGCAGGGACAGUUGUCCAAAUUGAUGAAGAGGCAAUGGGAAAAGAGGGAAGUGACAGGAUGAUGGUGACUAGUAGGAAGAAGAAUAUACAAAGCGAGAGUCAGAGAUCAAUGUUGAUAUGAUAGUGGAAGGAGCAGAGGACUCUGAACACAUGAUAAUGUUGCCAACCCUGGUUUUGCUGUUAGGUUGGUGUGUGGUUAUUAUCUAUGCAGGUUUAGUUUUACCUGUAAACUGGAUGGUAAAACUCAGAUUGACAUAUAUACACUACCAUGUAUAAAAUAGGUGGCUACUGGAACCUGCUGUAAACACAGGGAGCUCAGCUCUACACUCUGUGAUGACCGAGAGGGGCGGGUGGGAGAGAGGGAGGUCCAAGAGGGAGGGGAUGUAUGUGUAUGCAUACCUGAUUUACUUCAUUGUACAGCACAGACUAACACAACAUUGCAAAGCAAUUAUACUCUACAAAUGUUUAACAAUGAAAUAAAAUCUGUUAUCUAUACAACAAAAUAAUGAGACCCUGCCUGUGGAAGUGUUUUGUAACUCUGCAGAGCUUUAUGAAGGAAAGGCGUUCACCUAGAGAUAGAAGCUACAUAACCACAGUCCAAUUUUCUUUGCCUCAGCAAUCUAAGGAUUGGAGUACUGUUAGGACCAUUUACAGAUGGAAUUUCAGAGGGUCCACAUGGAGAAGGAUCACUUUCUACUCUGGUGGAUCAACCUCACAAGGAAUGCACAGUGGUGCCUCCCCCGAUGAGCCCACCAUUUCCCUCAAGGUGGGUUCAUUAUCACCACACCACCCAGGAAGCCAGAAAUGACCUUGAAUCUACAAGAAAAACUUCAAAGAAGGAACCAAAGUUUCAAUAAAUCUUCCU